This 254-nucleotide ribosomal RNA is filed under the name uncultured bacterium. Its description in RNAcentral is "partial 16S ribosomal RNA". It matches the Rfam family "Bacterial small subunit ribosomal RNA", at positions 524 to 776 of the family's 1533-position model. The record is from RNAcentral.
UACGGGGGGAGCAAGCGUUGUUCGGAUUUACUGGGCGUAAAGGGCGCGUAGGCGGCCACCGCAAGUCGACUGUGAAAUCUCCGGGCUUAACCCGGAAAGGUCAGCCGAUACUGCGGGGCUAGAGUGCAGAAGGGGCAACUGGAAUUCUCGGUGUAGCGGUGAAAUGCGUAGAUAUCGAGAGGAACACCUGCGGCGAAGGCGGGUUGCUGGGCUGACACUGACGCUGAGGCGCGAAGGCUAGGGGAGCAAACAGG